Molecule: ribosomal RNA, 230 nt
Filed under: uncultured bacterium
Lineage: Bacteria
Description: partial 16S ribosomal RNA
Rfam family: Bacterial small subunit ribosomal RNA
Source: RNAcentral
UGGGCAACCUGCCCUCAGCUCUGGGAUAACUCCGGGAAACCGGGGCUAAUACCGGAUACGACCACUCCUGGCAUCUGGGGUGGUGGAAAGUUUUUCGGCUGAGGAUGGGCCCGCGGCCUAUCAGCUUGUUGGUGGGGUCACGGCCCACCAAGGCGACGACGGGUAGCCGGCCUGAGAGGGCGACCGGCCACACUGGGACUGAGACACGGCCCAGACUCCUACGGGAGGCA